RNAcentral lists this unclassified non-coding RNA (401 nucleotides) under Hevea brasiliensis (rubber tree). The record is from RNAcentral. Lineage: Eukaryota; Viridiplantae; Streptophyta; Magnoliopsida; Malpighiales; Euphorbiaceae.
GAGAGAAAAAUAUAGCAAGUAAAUGCGACCAUUUCAAAGCGAGAGAAGGUCGCUUGGCCGAGAGAGAAAGGGUUGGUUGGAUUUUGAUAGAAACAGAGUGAGAUUAGAUUGUUGAAUUGUCUUCUCUCUCAUCAUCAUACAUCACACGGUUCACCGAUGGUGAAGGCGAUGCCAGGUGCUGAUGAUGAUAGCAGCAGUAUCGCCAUGACCACUCUAACCACCACCAACAACAUUCUUUUAUCCAAACAGGCCAUCUUUAUUAUUAUUGUUAUGCUACUUUUGAUCAUUUUUUUAAUCUUAAUCGCCUGCAAGUAUAAGCCAUGGCGUUUCUUUUACUCUCAUCCUGUCUCCUCCAACUCUGUCUUUCGCAAUAAGAACACAAUCAAGGGUGAAGAUAUAGA